Molecule: long non-coding RNA, 1220 nt
Filed under: Triticum aestivum (bread wheat)
Lineage: Eukaryota; Viridiplantae; Streptophyta; Magnoliopsida; Poales; Poaceae
Description: long non-coding RNA (TAES_LNC017703)
Source: RNAcentral
UGGAUUAGGAUGCAACAUCUGUUUGUAUCUGCUGGUAUGGCAAUUUUGCUGCUUGCUAGGAGAUGUUCAUCUCCAGCGUUUAUUGCAGUUUAAAAAGCAGUUCAAUCACCUUGUAAUAGUUAUGGUGUAGUAAGAUUUGGGUUAAAUAUCGGUUUGAUACACGCUGAAUUUUGAGUUAGUCUCCAAAUAGAAGUUGUAGUGUACUUCUUAAGCUUUCUAGAGUGUAUUUAUUUGUGUAUUUUUACUGGGCAGUUUGAGAGCAGCGACCACCUCAAGCUUGCCGUCCAAAAAUUAGUAUCUCUAUUCGGACAUGAUACUACAAAAGAAACAAUGCAUUGAUACUUUCCCCGUUCCUUGUAUGUUUGCUUGCUAUUUACAUAUUUAACCUUCCAAAAUAGGGCCACCAGUCAUGUCAGGAAUGCCAUUGUAUUAUUACCAUACUUGAACUGCUGGCCGACGAUGGUAAUUCAGACAGCCGUAUUAUUUGCAUUGCUAAACUAUCCUGGUAUAUAUUUAGGAUCCUACGCUACUUAUUUAGAUUACAAAUAAAUUUGUCAUGUUAAUGUUUAUGUCGGUAUAUGUGCCAGCUUACACCCAGAUUUGUUUUGCCUUAUGCAGAAACUACUGGAUACUUUACAUCAAGCUUGACCAAGUAUGUCCCUUGUUGCUGUUGUUAUACCUGGCGAUAGAGCUCCAUUGGUUUCUUCAAAGGUGGCAUGCCCUGAUUGAUUUAUUACUCUGUAGAGUGUGUAAAGGUUUUUCUGUUUAUGACUAUUUGGUGCUUUUAUCCAGCAAGGCAGUAAGUUCUUUUGCAGGGACAAAUGGCAGAAAAUAGCAAGUCCACAAGUUGAUCUAAGAUGCUCCGUGGUCGCUUUUGUUGAUAACAUGGUUGACACCUUUUGUUCAUACAAAAGUUCAUGUUGGCUUGGUGAUUGAAGAAUUGGUCUCUGCCAUCAAAUUUUGUAGUAGUCAGUGAUCAAACAAUUGGUCUCUUCGGAUCUUAGCCAUCAAAUUUUGCAACAACUUGUCUUGUAUGUCAAACUUAUGUAUUUCCUUGAUGGUUGUAGCUAUCUUGAGCGAAGAAAACAAAUUAAUCUUUAUAUAUGUUGAAUGAAUGUAUGGAUGAAUGGCAGUUUGUGAUGAAUAUAAGAGUGCAAUUGUGUAUAUGCAUUGUGUACUAAACAUGAAUUAAAUAUUAUGAAUGUGAUUUAAUGUUAAAA